UACGUAGGGUGCAAGCGUUAAUCGGAAUUACUGGGCGUAAAGCGUGCGCAGGCGGUUUUGUAAGUCUGUCGUGAAAGCCCCGGGCUCAACCUGGGAAUUGCGAUGGAGACUGCAAGGCUUGAAUCUGGCAGAGGGGGUAGGAAUUCCACGUGUAGCAGUGAAAUGCGUAGAGAUGUGGAGGAACACCGAUGGCGAAGGCGGCCCCCGUCGGGUCGAACGA
This 220-nucleotide ribosomal RNA is filed under the name uncultured bacterium. RNAcentral's name for it is "partial 16S ribosomal RNA". It matches the Rfam family "Bacterial small subunit ribosomal RNA", at positions 524 to 743 of the family's 1533-position model. The record is from RNAcentral.